Molecule: long non-coding RNA, 623 nt
Organism: Medicago truncatula (barrel medic)
Lineage: Eukaryota; Viridiplantae; Streptophyta; Magnoliopsida; Fabales; Fabaceae
Exons: 2
Source: RefSeq, a predicted model, not a curated record
GCGUGGUGAUGUUGUUUGCUAUAACUGCAAUGAAGAGGGCCAUAUCAGUUCACAGUGCACACAGCCGAAGAAGGUUAGAACCGAUGGGAAAGUGUUUGCAUUGACUGGUACACAGACUACUAAUGAGGACCGACUUAUCAGAGGUAUUUGUCCAAAUAUGAUGCGAAAAAUGAAGAAAAUUGAGCCUUGCAUGUCCAGAAGCUUGGUACGGCCGUGCCUGUGACCUAGCCAAAAAACCACCCAUUUCCAGAGAGUUGGCACUGCCCGUGCCAGUGGUGGCACGGCCGUGCCAUGGUCCCAGACCCUCUUUUACCAUUUUUUUUCACUUUUCUUCUUCUUCCUUCAUUCUCAAACACAAACUUCCCUCAUCCUUCAACUUCUCUCUCUAAACCUCCAUAACAUCAACCUUUAAACCUCCAUAUCUAUCUCCAUUCAUCAUUCCAAACAUUUACCACCAAUCAAAAUCAACAUUCAUCCAUCCAAACACCAAAUUGUACACCAUUAAACCCUAACCCAAAAACCAAAAAAAUUCUUCACCAAUCUCCAUCAUUAAACUCAUCAACCUCACUUAAACCCCAACCCAUCACUAAACCAACCUUACCAAACCCUAACCUUCCUUAAAA